RNAcentral lists this small nuclear RNA (295 nucleotides) under Erinaceus europaeus (western European hedgehog). RNAcentral describes it as "7SK RNA". It matches the Rfam family "7SK RNA". From Rfam's summary of the family: 7SK was discovered as an abundant small nuclear RNA in the mid-70s but a possible function has only recently been suggested. Two independent studies have found that 7SK RNA binds the CDK9/cyclin T complex (known as elongation factor P-TEFb). Lineage: Eukaryota; Metazoa; Chordata; Mammalia; Eulipotyphla; Erinaceidae. The record is from Rfam by way of RNAcentral.
GGAUGUCAGGGUGCUCUGGAUGUGACAUCUGUCACCCAAUGACUACCAGGGUGAAUCUGACUAAUCUGGCUGCUAGGCGGAUGUCCCCUUCCUCCUUCACUGCUCCAUAGGUAUCCCUCCACCAAGAGGAUGACCUUCCCAGAAUAGGGAAGAACUGGUCUUUGGUCAAUGGUGUAUGAGUAGCUGCACUCCCCUGCUAGAACCUCCAAACAAGCUGUUUUCUAUUUUAUGAGAAGUAUGGCUAGUUAAAGUUUCUUUAAGACUGUAUUUUCAAUUUGGAAGACUUUUAGCAUUU